RNAcentral lists this ribosomal RNA (253 nucleotides) under uncultured bacterium. RNAcentral's name for it is "partial 16S ribosomal RNA". It matches the Rfam family "Bacterial small subunit ribosomal RNA", at positions 524 to 776 of the family's 1533-position model. The record is from RNAcentral.
UACGAAGGGGGCUAGCGUUGCUCGGAAUCACUGGGCGUAAAGCGCACGUAGGCGGCUUUUUAAGUCAGGGGUGAAAUCCUGGAGCUCAACUCCAGAACUGCCUUUGAUACUGGGAAGCUUGAGUUCGGGAGAGGUGAGUGGAACUGCGAGUGUAGAGGUGAAAUUCGUAGAUAUUCGCAAGAACACCAGUGGCGAAGGCGGCUCACUGGCCCGAUACUGACGCUGAGGUGCGAAAGCGUGGGGAGCAAACAGG